AGUGAACGCUGGCGGUAUGCCUAAUACAUGCAAGUCGAACGGCAGCACAGUAAGAUCUUGCUCUUACGGGUGGCGAGUGGCGGGCGGGUGAGGCAUACAUCGGAAUCUACUUUUUCUUGGGGGAUAACGUAGGGAAACAUACGCUAACACCGCAUAUGACCUACGGGAUAAAUCAGUGGAUCUUCGGACCUUUGGCGAUUGAAUUAGCCGAUGCCGGAUUAGCUAGUUGGCGGGGUAAAGGCCCACCAAGGCGACGAUCCGUAGCUGGUCUGAGAGGAUGAUCAGCCACACUGGAACUGAGACACGGUCCAGACUCCUACGGGAGGCAGCAGUGGGGAAUAUUGGACAAUGGGCGCAAGCCUGAUCCAGCCAUACCGCGUGGGUGAAGAAGGCCUUCGGGUUGUAAAGCCCUUUUGUUGGGAAAGAAAAGCAGCAGGUUAAUACCCCGCUGUUCUGACGGUACCCAAAGAAUAAGCACCGGCUAACUUCGUG
This 492-nucleotide ribosomal RNA is filed under the name uncultured bacterium. Its description in RNAcentral is "partial 16S ribosomal RNA". It matches the Rfam family "Bacterial small subunit ribosomal RNA", at positions 29 to 507 of the family's 1533-position model. The record is from RNAcentral.